UGUAAGCGUAUACCAAAGUUGUUGCAGUUAAAACGCUCGUAGUCGGAAUUUGGCAGUUCCGGAAGUGUGCACGUCGUGUGCGCACUUUGCGGGGACUGCUUUUGUGGUCUUGCGUAGGAUGAGGCACUUUCAUUAGUGAACGUCCUCACGCAACCACUCUUUACUGUGAGAAAAUCAGAGUGCUCAAAGCAGGCAUUUGCCGUGAAUGUAUUAGCAUGGAAUAAUAGAAUAGGACUUGGUUCUAUUUUGUUGGUUUGUUGGGACUGAGUAAUGAUUAAGAGGGACAGUUGGGGGCAUUUGUAUUCCGGCGCUAGAGGUGAAAUUCUUAGAUUGCCGGAAGACAAACUGCUGCGAAAGCGUCUGCCAAGGAUGUUUUCAUUGA
This 382-nucleotide ribosomal RNA is filed under the name uncultured eukaryote. RNAcentral's name for it is "partial 18S ribosomal RNA". It matches the Rfam family "Eukaryotic small subunit ribosomal RNA", at positions 592 to 976 of the family's 1831-position model. The record is from RNAcentral.